This 1703-nucleotide long non-coding RNA is filed under the name Gossypium barbadense (sea-island cotton). RNAcentral describes it as "long non-coding RNA (GBAR_LNC001858)". The record is from RNAcentral. Lineage: Eukaryota; Viridiplantae; Streptophyta; Magnoliopsida; Malvales; Malvaceae.
AAAGACUGCUGCAAUUUUCAUUAAGUGAUUGAGUUUAUGUGUCUUGGAACUGUGUCAAUCUUUGGGAUUUUAUUUAUGAGUCUAGAAGUGAAUAAUAUAAGUGUGUUGGAGUCUGCAGUGGUUGUAAUGCAAGGCGAAAAGAUAUUUCUCCCUUAAUAUCAAUCAUAUUACUAGCUUCUGUUAUCUGCAACAAAGACAUCACAUAUUGAGAAAAUGAUUGAAGAGGUUAGGUCUUAAGUAAUUGUUUAUUUAGAAGAGAAAUUAUAUAUAAAUUGAUAAUAUAGAGAGAGAAAUGAUUAGAUACACUUAUGGCAGGCACAAGAAGUAAAUUCAUUACCAUAAAUAUAAUAUUUAUUGAAUAAGGAUUCUUCUUUAAAGAAUCCCAAUUUAUUAGCAAUAUCCCUGUGAACUAGGAAUCUUCCUUAUUUUACAACCUUCAUUAUUUAUCAUAUUUUACUAGUUUUUAAAAGAAGAGAGUUAUUGUCUUAUUAAUAAAUUAAACAAAAUUUAUAUUUAAUUUGAGAUUUGGAUCUCACUCUAAUGAGUUUUAAGGUAUCAACUCCCUUUUCAGAGUUGAAUUCUAUAUAGGGUUGGCUGCUCAAUAAACCAGAACAAGGGAGAUAAUCCCUCUUCUCAACCUGACUUAAUUGUAAAGCUUUCAGUGACUUGGUCCAUCUCUAGGAAAAAAACAAAAUGGUAUCGGAUAAUUGUCUGAAGAUCCUUUAAUUUUACUUCAUCGAUGUGAACAAUUUUUUGCCAACCAGCCAACACCAGAGAUAGAUCAAGUUAGUCUAGCAGCCUUCCAGUUGCUCGAGGAAGCCCAAUUGUGGUAUUACAAGCUUAAGCAAGAAGAGUCAGAUAUCAAUUGGGACAAAAUUACCAAGUAUUGCUUAUUACGCUUUGGCCCUCCGGUACAAAGGUAAUCCUUCGGGAGACUUGGUUCAUUUAAGAUAGUAGUUCAUGGGUCGAGUCAUUCGAUCAAGUUCAAAGGUCUAUCCAAAAAUUAGGAGGAUUUAAACAAAAAUAUAAACUCAAAAAUGAGUUUAGACAAAAAAAAAAUUGAAACUUAUUUUCUAAAUAGGUCAAGUAAAUUUUUUUAAUCCCAACCCAAACAUGACUUAUAAAUCAUAUUUUUAACAAAUUAAGCAUUUAUUGGAUUUGGCUUUAAAAUCUGGAAACAAGGUUACUAGUUUGAAAAUAGGGCUUCGUCUUUUUCCUUUUUCUUUUUUUUUUCCCUCUGCCCAGUACUCCAAUCUGACGAAAUCUCAUGGAUUGGCAGGGCCUGGCCCCCCUAUGAGAGAACUAAUAAAUAAUAAAAAAAUAAAAAUUCUGCUUCUCUCAUGGAUCACAUAGAUUGGUACGUUAGAUCCGACGCCAACAAUUUCGUCCCUCCUGAAAUCCUGUAAAACCACCUAAAAUAUUAAAUCUUCGUAACAGAUGUAGACAAAAACAAGUGGGUUAGGACUCGAGAAGACCAAGUCAAUGACUCCAGAAAAAUGAGUCAUCAUCGGCUUAAACAUGGAGAUAGAAGAGGAGAGGAAGGUUGGAUAUAGAAGAAGUGGAGAGAGGGAGGUUGGCAGGCUGUUGUUGGCCGAAGGCCAGAGCCGAUACCGCCGCCCCAGCGGCCAGGGUUAGGCGGAGAAAACAGGUUUCUUUCUUCUUUCGGGGGUUUGGGUUUGAAUCAUGAAAGUGGUAAAGAACAC